GCGACUUAAAUUGCAAAAGCUCAAGGGUACAUUUCUUCCACUGGACUCUGUUCGUGUAAAGAUAUUCCCAUUAUUAAAAUUGGUUGGACUCUAGAAAAGAACAGGAUCCAAGUGGCAGGUGAGAGUCUUGGGACCGACUGCCAAAACCUUUCCUCCCACUUUGCAACGUCUGCCUGAAGAGCUUACUGUGAGUAGCGGAGACACUUCUAUUUUUCACAUCUGUACCAAAGGCCCAACUGCAAGGUCGGAUAACAAUGAAAAUUGUAUUCUUCCAUAUUGUGUGUUGUGAGAGACUAAGUCACUGGAGAAGCUGUAGAUAUAGAAGUCUUUAUUCAUCAUGACUAACUUUGGAGGCGUUCUUGGUACAGUACUUCAAACUCAAAAGUACAUUACAUUUUUUAUACCCCUAAGAUCAAAGGUAACAAUAGGGGAUACAAUAACAUUUCAGUAGUUACAAUGAUCUCAUUUAUUUCAUUAGUUUAGGUUGAUAACGCUUCCUUUAAAUUAUACAUCUAGAGUGGGAAACAUACCUGAAUGCUCAAACACCUCUGCUGGCGCAAACUAAUUGACAUAGAAAUUCUAAAAUCGUCUGACGACAUAGAACCAGAUGCCCAAGAUUACUGUCCGUGUGAGUUGACUCUCUAAGUACACAAUAGAUCAGCUAUUGAUUGCAACUAUACUUGUGACCAUGUUUGAUUUGCUAACUGACAUGAUCAGCCUGGUCUCCUAGCUUGAAUUUAAGUCACAAUGCUGCAAGUAACUUAGCCAUGUUGCCUGGUUCGAUGCAAGCCAAUUAAGACAACCCCAUUGACUUAAUGUUUGGCUCACUCACAUGCAAACAUCUCAUGGUCAGCGUUUUGCAAACCAUAUCUGGGCCAGCUGGUGCUUUUAACUUCAACUUACUGCUUGCAAUUUAUAAUUUCCAUCAAGAACUGAAGACUGGCUCUCAUUUGAAUUAAUAUCUGCAAAACUCAGGUAAUUCAAGAAUACUCCCUAACAUUGUGCCUUUCUGCUUGUUUCCCAGGACAGAAAAAUUCCGGGAUCCAUCCAGACCUUUCCUUAACCACAUUGCCUCUUUCUAUUAUAUAACUCUUGUUGCAUUUAAGUAGUAUGGACUAUUUUGUGGUGCUCUGGGCUCAUAAAGAGUCACAGGCCUACUAUAAUAACUAUAAAUGUUGGGUUCGGAUUUCCCCCAUGGAUAUCAACUGCUCUAAUAUGGAUUGUGCAGAUUUCUCCCUGGUUACAGCAAGACCAGGGAACUCUACAAAUGCAGCACAUGGAAUGCAGAACUAAAGACUGUUACACGUUUGAUUUUCACAACUUCCUUUUCAAAACAAGGAGGCAGUAGAGUUUGUUAUUGAUGACGAUACAUUAUCCAAGUACAUACAAGAACAGAAGUAUAUUUGUAAUCCACCAAGUAAUUGGCUUACCAUGGGAAAAUGCUCUUCAAUAUGUCUUAUACUCCUGUGUCUACUUAUCCUGGUGUAAGACAAGUACAAUACCAAUUCAUAGACUAUUGACUCACCACUAAAUCCAAAAGCAGCUCCAAUAUGUGAAGCUCAGCCUAAUUUAUUUAAAUAUGGUUGUUGACCUCCACUUAUUUAAUUCAUGGUGUCUUCAUGUCAUGAAUUUAUUAACAAUAGUUCAAUGUUUUUAAUGGUGAUAAUGCUUAUCGCUCAAAUCGAUCCGCUGAUGAUGUAAUAGCCUCUUCCCUUCACUCUGUCCUGUCCCACCGGAAAAUGGGGUCUGAUAUGCCAGACUGCUGUUUAUAGACUUCAGUUCGGUGUUCUACGCCAUCUUACUGCAGAAGCCAGAGGGGAACCUGUCCUCGCUGGGUCUCAACACCUCCCUCUGCAAUUAUAUACUGGAUUUCUUAACAGAAAGGACACAGUCAGUCCAUCUGGGCAGCAACAUUGCUUGUCCCAUUACACUGAGUACUGGUGCUCCCCAAGGCUAUAUGCUGUUGACAUUUCUGAUACAUGAGCGUACUGCAGAAUAGCUCAAACCAUGCCAUCAAGUUUGCAGAUGACACAGCUGUAACUGGCCUUAUCAAGAAUGAUGAUGAGGCGGUGUAUAGAGAGCAAGUGGAGUGGCUGAUAGAUUGGUGUGAGAAGAACAACCCAAGCCUGAAUGUGGAGAAGACAAAGGAAAUCAUUGUGGACUUCAGGAAAGUGCAGACAGACCAUCUCUCUCUGCAAAUACAUGGGUCCUCCAUAGAGAGAGAUUUGUGCACCAAGUUCCUGGGAGUUCACAUCACGAUGACUUCACCUAGUCCCUUAACAUCACUUUCCUGAACAAGAAGGCACAGUGGCACCUCCACUUCCUAAAGAGAUUGAGGCACCCCCCAUCUUAACAGGAGUGGUAUUGAGGGUGUCCUAACAAGUUGGAACUCCAUCUAGUAUGGGAGCAGUCGAGCAUCAGACCAGAAGUCCCUACAAAGGACUGUAAGAACAGCCAAGAGGAUCACUGGGGUCUUCCUACCAGCCACCAGGGACAUUUAUCAGGAGUGCUGCAUUUGCAGAAACCUUAGUAUUAUUGAGGAUCCCACCCAUCCAUCAUCCUGUUUGAUUUUCAACCAGCAAGCAGGAGACUACAAUGCAUACAAACAAGAAUGGUCAGGGUGAGAAACACUUUCUUCCCCCAGUCUAUUAGGCUUCUGAACUCCCAGUUGCAUCAUAUUCAAAGUGUCACUGGUUAAUCUGUUCCCUAACUUACAAUAUUUAAUAUUAAUGCUUUUUAGUUUAAAUAUAGAUUUUAUCUUUACCUUCAUAAGUUAUCAUGCGUUAUGUGUACUACUGUGCUUUGCAGCCUGGU
Hypanus sabinus (Atlantic stingray) is the source of this 2814-nucleotide long non-coding RNA. RefSeq lists it as uncharacterized. The record is from RefSeq and is a predicted model, not a curated record. Lineage: Eukaryota; Metazoa; Chordata; Chondrichthyes; Myliobatiformes; Dasyatidae. The transcript has 5 exons.